RNAcentral lists this ribosomal RNA (467 nucleotides) under uncultured bacterium. RNAcentral describes it as "partial 16S ribosomal RNA". It matches the Rfam family "Bacterial small subunit ribosomal RNA", at positions 28 to 507 of the family's 1533-position model. The record is from RNAcentral.
GACGAACGCUGGCGGCGUGCUUAACACAUGCAAGUCGAACGGUGAAGCAGAGCUUGCUCUGUGGUUCAGUGGCGAACGGGUGAGUAACACGUGAGUAACCUGCCCUUGACUCUGGGUUAAGCGUUGGAAACGACGCCUAUUACCGGUUACUAGCUGAGACCGCAUGGUCAUCAGUUGGAAACAUUUUGUGGCCAAGGAUGGACUCGCGGCCUAUCUGCUUGUUGGUGAGGUAAUGGCUCACCAAGGCGACGAAGGGUAGCCGGCCUGAGAUGGUGACCGGCCACACGGGGACUGAGAGACGGCCCAGACUCCUACGGGAGGCAGCAGUGGGGAAUAUUGCACAAUGGGCGCAAGCCUGAUGCAGCAACGCCGCGUGAGGGAUGACGGCCUUCGGGUUGUAAACCUCUGUUAGUAGGGAAGAAGCGAAAGUGACGGUACCUGCAGAAAAAGCACCGGCUAACUACGUG